Molecule: unclassified non-coding RNA, 316 nt
Filed under: Hevea brasiliensis (rubber tree)
Lineage: Eukaryota; Viridiplantae; Streptophyta; Magnoliopsida; Malpighiales; Euphorbiaceae
Source: RNAcentral
CGGUACUGUCUCUCAAGAUUUCUCUAGAUCAGGAGAGAGAGAGAGAGAUGGGCACCGGAUCUUUUCUCAAAGUUGUGGCGAAAAACUUCGAUGUUCUCGCCGGGCCUUUUGUGACACUGGUCUAUCCCUUGUAUGCUUCGGUCAAGGCCAUAGAAACCAAAUCUCCAAUUGAUGAUCAGCAAUGGCUCACUUAUUGGGUGCUGUACUCUAUGCUUACACUCUUCGAGCUUACUUUUGCCAAAGUUAUUGAAUGGUUACCAUUCUGGACUCAUGCAAAACUGAUCCUGAACUGCUGGUUGGUCCUACCCUAUUUCAG